AAUUCUCAAUCCGUGUACUCGAUCUUGCCGUCGAGGCCAUGGCUUGGAUGUUUGGGGGUUGCUGGCCUUGUCGGCUCUCCUGAAAUGCAUUAGCAUGGGGUGGGCGAGUCUUUUCGACGUGCACGGCCUCUCGACGUGAUAAUGAUCGUCGUGGCUGGAGCGUCUGGACGAGCAUGCAUCGUUCCUUGCUUCGAACCUUGAUUUUCCUCUGUUCCCCUUGGACUGGGCUGCUGCUGCUAGUCGGCCGUGAGGCUGGCGAACGUACGUGCCGAGGGGGGAAGGGGGGGAGACUCUGGACGC
This 300-nucleotide unclassified non-coding RNA is filed under the name uncultured Boletus. RNAcentral describes it as "sequence contains ITS2". Lineage: Eukaryota; Fungi; Basidiomycota; Agaricomycetes; Boletales; Boletaceae. The record is from RNAcentral.